Molecule: ribosomal RNA, 433 nt
Filed under: uncultured bacterium
Lineage: Bacteria
Description: partial 16S ribosomal RNA
Rfam family: Bacterial small subunit ribosomal RNA
Source: RNAcentral
AACGAACGCUGGCGGCAUGCCUAACACAUGCAAGUCGAACGAGACCUUCGGGUCUAGUGGCGCACGGGUGCGUAACGCGUGGGAACCUGCCCUUAGGUUCGGAAUAACUCCCCGAAAGGGGUGCUAAUCCCGGAUAAUGUCUUCGGACCAAAGAUUUAUCGCCUUUGGAUGGGCCCGCGUUGGAUUAGCUAGUUGGUAGGGUAAAAGCCUACCAAGGCGACGAUCCAUAGCUGGUCUGAGAGGAUGAUCAGCCACACUGGGACUGAGACACGGCCCAGACUCCUACGGGAGGCAGCAGUAGGGAAUAUUGGACAAUGGGCGAAAGCCUGAUCCAGCAAUGCCGCGUGAGUGAUGAAGGCCUUAGGGUUGUAAAGCUCUUUUACCCGAGAUGAUAAUGACAGUACCGGGAGAAUAGGCUCCGGCUAACUCCGUG